This is a long non-coding RNA of Mercurialis annua (annual mercury), 550 nucleotides long. RefSeq lists it as uncharacterized. Lineage: Eukaryota; Viridiplantae; Streptophyta; Magnoliopsida; Malpighiales; Euphorbiaceae. The record is from RefSeq and is a predicted model, not a curated record. The transcript has 3 exons.
UGAAAGGAUUUAGGCCCAGAAUCCAUAUUUCAUUUUCAUUUCACCUACUAGCUUCAUUUCUUUCCUUUGUGCGAGCAACAGUACGGCGAAGUUAGGGCUUCCAUUCUGACACCUAAUUUUCGUUUCUACCUCCUAUUUGUUUGCUAAUUCGUAUAUAAUUAAGAUCCGACGAGUCAUCCAACUACCGGAUCAGGGGUUCAAGAAGUUUGACGGGUUUUGCAGAGUUAUAUAUUUUGGGAUAGCGGUUUCAGUAAAUAGUAUUUUGGCGUGAUCAGACUUCCAUUCCUUCUUUCGGAAGUCAGUGUUUUGUAAUGUAAAGAAAACGCUGUUUACUUCUAGAGCCGCAGUAGUUUAGUAGUUUGGUUUUGCUGUACAAACUCUGCUUUCGAAACUACUACUGGUUGUAUAAUAUUUAUGGUUAAUGUGUAGUAGUGUUUAACUAAAUGGUUUAUCGGGUAUCACUUAUACCGUAUUUGUGUAUCAUGAUGUCGUUAUGUUUGUUACAGGGUGGUUUGUGAUACUUGUUACAGGUGGUGAUGUUCUGUUUUCA